GACGAACGCUGGCGGCGUGCUUAACACAUGCAAGUCGAACGGAGAUUAUUAAUGAAGCUUGCGAUUUAAUAAUCUUAGUGGCGGACGGGUGAGUAACGCGUGGGCAACCUACCCAUAAGAGGGGGAUAACAGCUGGAAACGGCUGCUAAUACCGCAUAAACUUUUUAAGACACAUGUUUUAGAAAGGAAAGGUGGCGCAAGCUAUCGCUUAUGGAUGGGCCCGCGUCUGAUUAGCUAGUUGGUGGGGUAACGGCCUACCAAGGCAACGAUCAGUAGCCGGCCUGAGAGGGUGGACGGCCACACUGGGACUGAGACACGGCCCAGACUCCUACGGGAGGCAGCAGUGGGGAAUAUUGCGCAAUGGGGGAAACCCUGACGCAGCGACGCCGCGUGAGCGAAGAAGGCCUUAGGGUUGUAAAGCUCUGUUCUAUGGGACGAAGUCCUUGACUGUGAAUAAUGGUCAAGGUUGACGGGUACCAUAGGAGGAAGCCCCGGCUAACUACGUGCCAGCAGCCCGAC
Molecule: ribosomal RNA, 519 nt
Filed under: uncultured bacterium
Lineage: Bacteria
Description: bacterial SSU rRNA
Rfam family: Bacterial small subunit ribosomal RNA
Source: RNAcentral